RNAcentral lists this ribosomal RNA (303 nucleotides) under uncultured bacterium. Its description in RNAcentral is "bacterial SSU rRNA". It matches the Rfam family "Bacterial small subunit ribosomal RNA", at positions 355 to 675 of the family's 1533-position model. The record is from RNAcentral.
UGGGGAAUAUUGCACAAUGGGGGAAACCCUGAUGCAGCGACGCCGCGUGAGUGAAGAAGUAUUUCGGUAUGUAAAGCUCUAUCAGCAGGGAAGAAAAUGACGGUACCUGACCAAGAAGCCCCGGCUAACUACGUGCCAGCAGCCGCGGUAAUACGUAGGGGGCAAGCGUUAUCCGGAUUUACUGGGUGUAAAGGGAGCGUAGACGGCUGUGCAAGUCAGAAGUGAAAGCCCGGGGCUCAACCCCGGGACUGCUUUUGAAACUGCGUGGCUGGAGUGCAGGAGAGGUAAGCGGAAUUCCUGGUG